CUUAUGAAAAAAGGUUCUUCAAAGGUUCUGAAAUGAUGGUAAAGGUUCUAUAUAGAACCAUAGCUUACUGAAGAACCCUUUUUUGCUGAAAUGGUUCUUUGUCUUGGCAAAAGGGUUCUUUUUUCCCUCCUUUUUUGAUUUUAAAUUUAGUCAGUUAUUUUCAAGCUGCCUCUUGAUUAUUUUCACCUGUAAAAGCCCUGAAUCAUCAGUCCUGCUGAACUGCCUGCAGACUAACAUCACAAACCGGUAAGAGAGGAAAAUAAUCAUCAUUUACUGUUAAAAACAUUUUGAAAAUUGAAGUUUUGUGUGUUCUUAUUGUAAUUUAUUUAUUUUAUAACAGGUAAGCUUUAUACUGAAAGCUUCAUUCCCUUUAAAGCAGAGUUUUUAUAUGUGAGGUAAUCUUGCUGGGAGUGAAGGCAGUGCGUAUGACCACUUGAUACGAGAGACACAUUCUAUUUUUAAAGGUCAACAUACUGUAAGCUUCAUUCCCUUUAAAGCAGAGUUUUCAUAUGUGAGGUAAUCUUACUGGGAGUGAAGGCAGUGCAUAUGACCACUUGAUAUGAAAGACACAUCCUGUUUUUAAAGGUGAUGUAUGCAUGUUACUUUCAAUGCUGGCAUUAAAAUAAUAGUUAUUUACUGUUUAAACAUUUUGGAGAUUGUGUGUGUGAUCUUGUGGCACAUUUACUUGUGAUAACAGAAUUAUUUUUGUCUAUCUGUUGUAGGUGGAUCAUGAGUGAAGCUCUGCAGGUAUGCCAUUGGCUUGAUAACAGUGGUAUAUGUGAAUUGAGUGAAUUCAAUUUAUAAAUAAAUCUUUCACCAAGCAUUCACCUAUUUACGGACAAAACAGAUCCAAAUCUUGUUCAGCCUGAUGCUCAACCUUGUAUGAUGAUGACCACAGCCAGGUGAUGGAGAUCUGUUUUAAUCACAGCCUGCGUCUCAAGAUCAACAUGACAAUAGCAGACCAUUUUUUUAUCUUACACUUAUCUGACUAAAUGUUCAGCAUCUUUGCAACAAAACAAAGAACAUUAGAUGGAGUAUUGGAGUAUUGGAUGAUCCCGUAAAGAAAAUAAUAUGGACUUUUUUGGUGAGAUUCUACAAAGAUUGACACAAUCCUAUUGACUUUUAUUUUUACAGUUAAUAAUGCAUUAUAAACAUCCCAUUCAUUUGUAUUCUAUGUCAUCGAUCUGUUUGUGCUAAAAUGUAUACAUCUGAAUGUAAUGUCAAUAAUAUGUUAAUAUUCAGGAUUUAUUAUCAUUUGCAUGUUUUGA
This is a non-coding RNA of Misgurnus anguillicaudatus (oriental weatherfish), 1268 nucleotides long. NCBI's taxonomy places the organism in Eukaryota, Metazoa, Chordata, Actinopteri, Cypriniformes, Cobitidae. The record is from RefSeq and is a predicted model, not a curated record.